AUUGAACGCUGGCGGCAUGCUUUACACAUGCAAGUCGAACGGCAGCGCGGGCUUCGGCCUGGCGGCGAGUGGCGAACGGAUGAGUAAUACACCGGAAGGUGCCCUGCAGAUGGGGAUGGGCCGGCGAAAGCCGAAUGAAUACCGUAUCCGACCUGAUUGUGAAAGGGAGGGUUCUUCGGACCUAGCGCGUUUUGAUGGGCCGUUUGCAGGUUAGCUAGUUGGUGUGGCUAGUGCCUACCAAGGCGACGUUCCAUAGCUGGUCUGAGAGGACGACCGGCCACACUGGGACUGAGACACGGCCCAGACUCCUACGGGAGGCAGCAGUGGGGAAUUUUGGACAAUGGGCGAAAGCCUGAUCCAGCAAUGCCGCGUGUGUGAUGAAGGCCUUCGGGUUGUAAAGCACUUUUGGCGGGAAAGAAAAGGACUGUGCCAAUACCACGGUUCGAUGACGGUACCCGAAGAAUAAGCACCGGCUAACUACGUG
This 484-nucleotide ribosomal RNA is filed under the name uncultured bacterium. RNAcentral's name for it is "partial 16S ribosomal RNA". It matches the Rfam family "Bacterial small subunit ribosomal RNA", at positions 30 to 507 of the family's 1533-position model. The record is from RNAcentral.